UUUUUAUCCAAGUCGUCACAAAUUCGUCCGAUUAAACGGAUAUCCGCCCAAUCUGGCACCCCCGCAGUUGCGUUAUGUAGUGAGUCAACACUGGAUGGAAAUAUAGGGAAACUGUACUAGGACAUAAAAACACAUGGAUGGAAAUGACAUUAUUAUGGUAUUUCUACGACAAUCUGAUAGCUAGAUCAGCUCUCUUCAAUCUGCAUUUCGUAUUAUCAAUCGUAAUUUUCUAAAGAAAUUUCUGUCCCGACGCUGUUUGGAUCAGUCUAAUAUCUGAAACAAGAAACACCUGGGGUCUAAUUUUAUCGGACUAUAUCAUGUUGGCACCUGUUAGGUAACGUUACAGACAUUUUUUCCCCACACAUGUCCCUUACAAAAAGUUAACAAAGACUAUAGUUUUAUUAAAAGUAAAAAAAAAUGUUUUAUUAUUUACAAAGAAAGACAAACAGUGGUGGUUAAUACCAGGUUAGCGCAUAAUUAAUAUCCUAUAGCAUUGCGGCGUGAAGAAAAUAAGCCUACCAGGUUGUAGUUCAUUUCACAAACGCUUAUCGUAUCAUCGUUUAUCGGCCCUUAAAAUGUUAAUCAUUUACUCACCUUACCAUUGUCCCAAAGCCCAUUUUUGUCUUUCUUGGAAAAUUCUGAAUGUCAAUGUUGACUGAAUGUUAUAACUUACUUCAAAAAAGGACGGGGAGCACCACAGAAACAUCAUAAAUGUGGUCGACAUGACUCUUGCCUUGUUUUCCAAGUCGUCGGAAGCCACAUAACAGUUGUUUGAAGAACAACUCCAAAUUCUCGAAAUAAAUGUCGUUAUUGACUGAAAAUUCCAACAUCCAGCUUAACUCUUUGUGGCGCUCUUCUGAGGGAUACAGCGAUCAUAACCGUUUGUGAGUCGGAUCUUUUCAAUGAAUCAAAUCACAACUGAUUUGAAUAAUUC
Molecule: long non-coding RNA, 934 nt
Filed under: Sinocyclocheilus grahami
Lineage: Eukaryota; Metazoa; Chordata; Actinopteri; Cypriniformes; Cyprinidae
Description: lncRNA (ENSSGRG00000054154.1)
Source: RNAcentral